Molecule: long non-coding RNA, 1377 nt
Organism: Pistacia vera
Lineage: Eukaryota; Viridiplantae; Streptophyta; Magnoliopsida; Sapindales; Anacardiaceae
Exons: 6
Source: RefSeq, a predicted model, not a curated record
UCAAUGAUGCGUCAAAUUCUGGUGAGGUUAUGGAGCGGAGGGGAUCAUAUAAGCUCACUCGUCCAGUUAUGGAUGUGCAUCUUGGAUCAUCGAUAUCUCAGAAUGUAGGUUCCAGUAACCCGAUUGAGAAGCAUAAUGUGAGCAAUGCACCAAUGCCAUCUACUUCAUUCGCUGUGCCCAGUGCUUUCAAAAGAAAUUUACCUGAGGGACCAGAUGAGGCUGCAAAUGUUGGUCGUGGAAAUGGAAACAGAACUGGUGCUUCAAGCAGCUGGAUGCCAUCAUUAUACCGAAAUUCUUCUGCUAAGUAAUUGCCAUGAUUUGAAGGGAUCUGGAAACACAAUUUUGCAAGCUUCAUGAAGUUUGGUAGCUUGAAUUCUUUGUGGCAAGAUCUGCCAGAUCGUAUAAUGUAAUUUUUAUAAGGUGACUACAAGCACAGACACAUUGGAUGGUGCCAAGACCUGGCCCAUCAAAGCUUGGUUUUUUCAUGCGUGCAUAGAUGGGAAAAUUGAUUGAAGCCAGAUUCGUGUCUAAUUAUUCAAUGGAUUAUAUGAUUCUCAUGCUCUAUCCUUGUUGCCUUUUGUUUUCUGGAACAAAUUGCUGGAUGUUUACCUGGAUCAGUUUGAAUCUAGGUACCCACAUCCUUCAGAAUCUGAAAAAUAAAAGGAUUAAUCCAGCGUUUCAGAUCAAUAUGAUUCAGAUUUGGUGUGAGAGGAGGGUUUAAUAUAUGAAAGGGAGGAAGUCCACCUUGCUUGUUGAAUGGAUUUCUGGUAUCUUAAUAUUUUAGUGACUAUGAGGGAAAAUUAGAUCUGGGAUUUCAGGGAAACUAUAACAGUUUGGAUGGAAGAGCAUUUUUAUAAUCUGGUUGCUACACAAUGUUCAUGCUUGUGUUGAUCUGCCUUUGCAUGAAGCAUGCUUUAGGACUUUCAUAUUUACGAGUUUUCCCACUCAUAGGUGUUGAUGCAACUUGCAAGACACCUUUAGACCUUAAAUAGAAGCUUAUAGCUCUUCGUCCAUGCUUAAGCUGUUAGAAGACGAAGAUAAUCCCAGUUACCAAGUUCUGACAACUUCCGAAGGAUUAAAAAAAAAAAAAAAAAAAAAUGUCCACCAAAUGUAAUGAAGUUAAAAAAAAAAAAAAAAAAAUUAACCCAAAUUGUCCCAAGGGUUUGGAAGAAAAGAGUCACUCUUAUUUUUAGAUGUUAAUUGAAUUUAAUAAUGUAAUGGGUCUGAUUUUGUCAUGUAUAUGGACUAUAUGAUAAUGGAUAUGCUAAUAAAAAGGAAAAAAAUUAUUAUUACGAAUUGCACUUUUGAUUGGCUUCAAAGUUUCAACCCCUAAAUCACUUUGUUAGCGAGAUUAGGUAUUUUGAUUAUUGAUGCCUU